RNAcentral lists this unclassified non-coding RNA (285 nucleotides) under plant metagenome. RNAcentral describes it as "partial contains small subunit ribosomal RNA, internal transcribed spacer 1, and 5.8S ribosomal RNA". The stretch from base 1 to 54 matches the Rfam family "Eukaryotic small subunit ribosomal RNA", at positions 1778 to 1831 of the family's 1831-position model. The record is from RNAcentral.
GGAAGUAAAAGUCGUAAUAAGGUUUCCGUAGGUGAACCUGCGGAAGGAUCAUUAUUGUAUAACCGAGGUGCGAGGGCUGUCGCUGACCCGAAAGGUCGUGCACGCCCGAGUGCCCUCACACACAUCCAUCUCACCCCUAUGUGCACCACCGCGUGGGUCCCCCUUUGGCUUGUUCGGAGGGGGGCUUACGUUUUCACACAAACUUUGUAUGCAGUGUAGAAUGUAUUUUUUGUUUUUGCGAUCACGCAAUAAAUACAACUUUCAACAACGGAUCUCUUGGCUCUC